AAAGAAGAAGAGGAAGCGUGAUGAAACUCAGGCGUCGCUUGCCGGGUCAAUGCUUAAAUAUGUUCAAGGAGGAUCUCAAGGACAGGAUGAACCAUCCAGUAGUAGUGCCAUCCCUGGACAUCAACCACCAGCCAUUGUAGACCCUGCAACAAUCCCUAGCCAAGAAGAACAAGAACCAUCAACCACCAGUUCAGAGUGAACGAGAUCUUUGGUUUUGCCUUUGCUGACUGCUGAUCUGAUCGUCUCAAGUCUGGUGACCUGCUGCAGAAAACCCUCUCCCUCUAUCAUUAACAAGCAAUUCAGUCUGUCCUAUCACUCUCCCUCUCCCUGCUCCAUCUUUUUGACAAGCCAUUCUAUCUUCUAUCAUUUCUCCGCCAUGAGCUCUAUCUAAGUUGACAAGCUUGAACCUGAGUUGAAACGCAAUCCUGUGACUUGAAAUCAAGUUUUACCAGAAUCUAAGUUUUUGGAAUUGAAGUUACCAGAACUUCGUCAAUCUGUUUUCAGAAUUCUGAGAGAUCUCCGCUCUCACUGCUCCAUCUUUCCUGUCGUUAAACUCUCUCACAUCCAGUCAUUUUGCUGGAAAUUACAAGUAAAAGUUGAAUAUACAGUAAUAGAAUUACAGUACAGUAGAACUCACUGUAGAAACUACUUACAGAGCCCUACAUUUGUCAUUUUAAUUUUUACAUUACACUUUGGAAUAAACACUGAUAGCUUGGCUUACGUGUGCAGUUACUUUGAUAAAUUAUAUAAAAUACACACCUUUUUCAAGGUUUAUUUGUAAUAAGAUAAUCUGGUUAUUUUGUAAUACAUACAUUCAGACUUAUAUUCACAUAAAUAAUAAAUUGGAUCCAAAUAUAUUUUUCAAGUCUGUUUCAUUGGCUAUAACAUUUGACUACAAGUUUAUACUAUUAUUAUUUAAG
This is a long non-coding RNA of Oreochromis aureus, 920 nucleotides long. Lineage: Eukaryota; Metazoa; Chordata; Actinopteri; Cichliformes; Cichlidae. The record is from Ensembl.